RNAcentral lists this ribosomal RNA (1755 nucleotides) under human gut metagenome. RNAcentral's name for it is "bacterial LSU rRNA". It matches the Rfam family "Bacterial large subunit ribosomal RNA", at positions 359 to 1998 of the family's 2925-position model. The record is from RNAcentral.
AGAGGGUGAGGGCCCCGUACCCGAACGCGCAUGGUCUGGCGAUCGCGUCUCCCAAGUAGCACGGGCCCCGUGGAAUCCCGUGCGAAUCUGUCCCGACCGUGGGAUAAGCCUAAAUAUUCCUGUCUGACCGAUAGCGAACGAGUACCGUGAGGGAAAGGUGAAAAGUACCCCGGGAGGGGAGUGAAACAGUCUCUGAAACCAUGCGCCUACGAACCGUCGGGGCCCCCUUGUGGGGUGACGGCGUGCCUAUCGAAAAAUGAGUCUGCGAGUCAGUGGCAUGUGGCGAGCAUAAGCCGUGUGGCGUAUGCGUAGCGAAGGCGAGUCUUAAAAGGCGUUUGAGUCGCGUGUCCUGGACCCGAAGCGGGAUGAUCUAGCCCUGAGCAGGUUGAAGCGCGGGUAAGACCGUGUGGAGGACCGAACCCACCUGGGUUGAAAACCGGGGGGAUGACUUGGGGCUAGGGGUGAAAGGCCAAUCAAAUUCCGUGAUAGCUGGUUCUCUCCGAAAUGCAUUUAGGUGCAGCGUCGGAUCGAUUACAUCCGGGGGGUAGAGCGACUGGAUGCUUGCGGGCCCAUAUCGGGUACCAACAGCAACCAAACUCCGAAUACCCGUGAUGCGUAUCCCGGCAGUGAGUCGGCGGGGGAUAAGCUCCGUCGUCGAAAGGGAAACAGCCCAGAUCGUCGUCUAAGGUCCCCAAGCGUGUGCUAAGUGGGAAAGGAUGUGGAGUCGCAUAGACAGCCAGGAGGUUGGCUCAGAAGCAGCCACCCUUGAAAGAGUGCGUAACAGCUCACUGGUCUAGUGGUUCCGCGCCGACAAUGUAGCGGGGCUCAAGCACACCACCGAAGACGCGGCAGUAGCUUUGCUACUGGGUAGGAGAGCGUCCCAUGCGGGGCGAAGCGGCGGCGCAAGCCCGCCGUGGACCGCAUGGGAGUGAGAAUGCAGACAUGAGUAGCGAAAGACGGGUGAAGAUCCCGUCCGCUGGACGACCAAGGGUUCCAGGGCCACGUUCAUCGUCCCUGGGUGAGUCGGGUCCUAAGGCGAGGCCGACAGGCGUAGUCGAAUGGAUGAACGGGUCGAUAUUCCCGUACCGGCAUGCAACCGACAAAACCGAAUCCGCGAGUACUAACCUCCGGGUCCGGGCUUACGUCUCCUUCGGGAGCCGGAUGCCCUGGCCUGUUGGGACCGUAACGGUAGUAGGUCAGCGCGGGAGUGACGCAGAAGGGUAGCCGGCCGCGGAGGUGGUCUUCCGUGGUCAAGCACGCAGCCCGUCCCACAGGCAAAUCCGUGGGGCGCGUGGGCGAGGUGCGAUGAUGGGCGCCGCAGGGCGCGAUAUCCGGUGAUCCCGGCUGCCGAGAAAAGCUUCGGCGUGAGGCGGCGUGCCGCCCGUACCCCAAACCGACACUGGUGGUCAGGUAGAGAAUACCAAAGCGAUCGAGCGAAUCCUGGUCAAGGAACUCGGCAAAUCACUCCCGUUCCUUCGGUUUAAGGGAGACCCCCGAUGGUGAAGCGGCUUGCCCGUGGAGCUUUUGGGGGUGGCACAGACCAGGGGGUAGCGACUGUUUACCAAAAACACAGGAGCGUGCGAAGGCGCAAGCCGCUGUAUACGCUCUGACGCCUGCCCGGUGCCGGAAGGUUAAGAGGAUCCGUCAGGCUUCGGCCGAAGCGGUGAAUUCAAGCCCCGGUAAACGGCGGUGGUAACUAUAACCAUCCUAAGGUAGCGAAAUUCCUUGUCGGGUAAGUUCCGACCUGCACGAAUG